GACGGCGUCGUGAAUCCCGCGACGCUGCACGCAGGAAGGAUAUCGCAGAGGAACCGCGCGAACAUCCUGGCUGGCGGUUCUGAAUUAAAUUCUCAGGAAAAUUAUCGUUUCGUAUCAGAAAUUUUCGAGGAAAAUCUCUCGUAAAAGCGCGACAACGGUCCAACGAACGGAAACGUCCUGUUUUUUGGCGAUUCAAGAAAUUUAAAUGUAAUCCCAUUUUUAUUUAUUUUCACAUCUUCUGUCAAUCAAGAUUGGUGAAUUAAAUUCAAGCGGAGACAGUCGCGAACAAGUUACCCGCUUCGUGUUGGAAUUUCUCGGAGGACGCGCAGCAGAGGGCGCGCUGCAGAUUGAUGGACGACACCUGCGUGCGUGCUUAUCGAGAGCGCACGAUCGUGACGAGAUAAUGAAAUAGGUCACGCGCGCGGAAUUUGCCCGACACUGAGUGGCCUGAUUGCAUGUGGCUGAAUCAAGACGCACCGAUCCAGAUGCACUUUGGUAUCAUAUGUAAAGGAUAAUCGCAUCUAACCGAGGCGUACAAGGCGGCACACUUUCCCUCUCCGAUCUCCAACUGUGAUUAACAUCGCGAGGGUAGCGCUGCGCAUUCCUCGCGGAUUAAUCAUGUUUAUUUAAUCUCAAUUUCGACGUACACGCUAAUCGGCAGCUUUAGCGCGCGAUGCAAAUAGGUUAUUGGGAUCUUCUUGCUGUGCGUGCAACGUUGAGUCAUUAUUUAUUGGUUAUUCUAAGAAGCGAGGACGACGUGGCUAAUCGGCAAUCUGUGAUAGCUUUGUGUUGCUAUACGUCCUGAAGCGAAUGAAAUACAAAAUACUACGUACUUUGGCCAUAAACUAUUGCAGUUUCGUUCCCUAGAGCGAAUUAUAUGUAAAAUACUAAUUAUACAAUAUUUCUGUUUUAAAAGACCGAUCAUGUACCGGUCAUGAAUUAGCUAUAAAAACACUAGAAAAUCGUGAGAAACUUGAGAAAUCUAUUUUGCAUCAUUAUUUAUAAUCUCAUUUUUCAGUGCAUUGCUUGACUCACUUUUCCAAUAACUUUUCUAAAUUCUUUUUCCCCUUAUUUUUGCAAUAUACACGUGUAUGAAAUUUCUGAGAAAGAGAGUGAGGCCGGAAAGGUUGAAGCAAGCGACCCAAGAAUUAAAGGAUAUCGUUACGCACUACGCGAAGCGAUCGCGGUUCGACCAACAGUGGGUCCAUCGAGUUCCCGCGAGUUUCCGGGCUUGCAGGGAGCGAGGUGUUGCAUAAAUCGGUCCGAUUACGCCACCGGAAACUGCGGUCCGCCGUGUAUUCCUCAGGACCCGUUUGUCGGUAAGCGCGUAAGCGCGAGAUGCGUAUACGCGCAUGUGUGCGUGCGUGCGUGCGUGCGUACUCGCUCGUAGUGAUUACAUAAUCGUGAACGCCGGCCUAACCGGCCGGCCCCGGCGAAAUCGCCGAAAAUUCCACGUUUCGCGUGCGUAUCGCACCGGUUAUUACACGCACGUUCGCCUCGCUCUGCUCCGCUCCGCUCCGCGUCGCGUCGCGUCGCGUCGCGUCGCGCCGCAUCACCUCGAUAUGUACAACGCGCGCACCGAUGCGUUCUGCAUCGCACACGACCUGCAUUCGCUUUCGCGUUCCUGAAGGUCCGUGAGGUUGCAACGCCCGACCGAAAUCGGAACGUCGUUUCCACGUUCUUCGUCGUGAGCGCCGCUACUGUUGCCGCCGCUGCAGCUACUUAUUAAUAACCGUCGUAAAUCU
Molecule: long non-coding RNA, 1745 nt
Filed under: Harpegnathos saltator (Jerdon's jumping ant)
Lineage: Eukaryota; Metazoa; Arthropoda; Insecta; Hymenoptera; Formicidae
Description: uncharacterized LOC112589261
Source: RNAcentral